UGAACAAGCAAAAUGAACACCACGCAGCUAACAUUUCCUUCCCUUACAAUGAUAAGUCUACAACCAAAUUGAUCAUACAUUUAUUUCUUAUGGGCAUAAUCAAAGCAAGCUAGCUCAAUGAGAACUCAAAGGCUGCAAUGACAGAAUAUAACUUGUCAAUCUUUCUAGAGAUUCAUAUGAAGAACCUCCUUGUUUCAGGCAAUGCUCCACCUUCUCCUUCAAAGUCAUUAUUCUCUUUCUCAUUUCCUGUCCCUCUGCUUCAACCAGUAGUCUUUUAAUAGCUCUCUCUAUCACCCCUCGUUCUAGUUUAUACUCUAAAUGCAACCCAAUUCUCCA
This 336-nucleotide unclassified non-coding RNA is filed under the name Hevea brasiliensis (rubber tree). The record is from RNAcentral. Lineage: Eukaryota; Viridiplantae; Streptophyta; Magnoliopsida; Malpighiales; Euphorbiaceae.